Oncorhynchus tshawytscha (Chinook salmon) is the source of this 1609-nucleotide long non-coding RNA. NCBI's taxonomy places the organism in Eukaryota, Metazoa, Chordata, Actinopteri, Salmoniformes, Salmonidae. The record is from Ensembl.
CCGUGAUCAAUUUGAUAGAUUAUUAACGUUUAUUAAUACCUAAAGUUGGUUUAGAUAAGUAGUUUGAAGUGUUUUGUAAAAGUUUAUAGGCAACUUUUGUAAUUUUAAAAAGUGACGUUGCGUCUUGUAAAGGGGCAUUUUUCUGGAUCAGACCGGUCUUCAGCAAAUCACAUUUUGGGUAUACAAUGACGGAUUUAAUCGGGAAAAAGACCCAAUUGUGAUGUUUAUGUGACAUAUAGGAGUGCCAAGAAAGAAGCUCGUCAAAGAUUCCCACAAAGAUCUCCGCCACGACACAACCCAAGGGGGGCGCCAACCCAGACAGGAAGAUCACGUCAGUGACUCAACCCAAUCAAGUGAUGCACCCCUCCUAGGGACAGCAUGGAAGAGCACCAGUAAGCCAGUGACUCAGCCCCCGUAAUAGGGUUAGAGCGGAGAGAGUGAAUCCCAGUGGAGAGAGGGGAACCGGCCAGGCAGAGACAGCAAGGGCGGUUCGUUGCUCCAGUGCCUUUCCGUUCCUCUUCACACUCCUGGGCCAGACUACACUCAAUCAUAGGACCUACUGAAGAGAUGAGUCUUCAAUAAAGACUUAAAGGUUGAGACCGAGUCUGCGUCUCUCACAUGGCCUCAGUAGAACACACCUGACUAUCCUCCACCAGUCAUACAAGGAGAAUAGUCUAAUGCCUAUCAAAAAGAGAUCUGACCCAAGCAAGCACAGGUUACACAUGAAGCAUCAGGACUUGCAGCGAGUGGUGAACUUCAUCAACACCUAUGCAGAGGAUAAUGCAAUAGUAUUACCUGGACGCCAACCAGGACACAAACACUUUGGUCGGAAGCUGCUGCCAUGUCAUGUGACACAAACUGCAGUGUGGCAUCUCUACAAGGAAAUGAUGACAACACAUGAGGUAUGUGUAGUCGCGCUGUCUUCCUUCAAGAAUUUGUGGACCACCUGACUCCGUACUUUAGCCUAAUGUCACAGAUCAAGCAGUACCAGCACUUCAGGAGCAUGGUUUUGUUGUCGCCAAGGAGCGUUCAGACUCAGUUGGGACCAGGUUUCAGCUGCUCCCAGUCAUCAUGACUAUCUGCACUGCCUCUAUGCACAUUCACAUGACUUUCUCUUAACACACACAGCAUACGUUGCUGCUAUUAUAAAAAAUGCAUCCUGCUGCUCAGCCACUUUACUGCUUAUUGUAUGCAUAUAUGUAACUACCUUGUGUAUCACCAGUAUCUCUGACAUCGUUAUUGAUAUUGUUCUUGUACAUACUGUAUAGUUUGUUCUUUCUCUACUGGCAUUGACACUUAUUGUUAUUGGUUUUUAUAUAUUGACACUUUCUAUUUUUUAUAUUGCAAGUAACCAUUUGGUUGUACCGUUUACACUUUCUGUAGAGACCCAUCCACUUGGCAUUAUGUCGCUGGGGGUUAUAGAAUUUCUUUCACAUGACCCAUCAAGUUAGACAAGUGUGUCUGGGUGAGCGUCAUCUAAUAAUUCAAAAAUAUUUUUCUGUUUUUGAUAUUGCAACUUUGCAAAUAUGCAAGUACCCAUUUCAAUGUGCAGUUUACACCUUCAGUAUCCUGGGCACGUGACAAAUAAACUUUGAUUUUAUUUUAUAUA